Molecule: ribosomal RNA, 257 nt
Filed under: uncultured bacterium
Lineage: Bacteria
Description: partial 16S ribosomal RNA
Rfam family: Bacterial small subunit ribosomal RNA
Source: RNAcentral
UACAGAGACCUCAAGCGUUAUCCGGAAUCAUUGGGCGUAAAGCGUACCGAUAGGGGGUUUUGGUAGUUUUGUGUAAAAGCCAGAAGCUCAACUUCUGCGUUUGCUCAAAAUACUCCAAGACUAGAGGGACAAAGAGGUGGCUGGAACGAAUGGUGUAGUAGUGAAAUGCGUUGAUAUCAUUCGGAACACCGAAAGCGAAGGCAGGCCACUGGGUGUCACCUGACACUGCUAGGACGAAAGCGUGGGGAGCGAAUGGG